Molecule: ribosomal RNA, 427 nt
Filed under: uncultured bacterium
Lineage: Bacteria
Description: bacterial SSU rRNA
Rfam family: Bacterial small subunit ribosomal RNA
Source: RNAcentral
UGGGGAAUUUUGGACAAUGGGGGCAACCCUGAUCCAGCCAUCCCGCGUGUGCGAUGAAGGCCUUCGGGUUGUAAAGCACUUUUGGCAGGGAAGAAACAGCCUGGGCUAAUAUCCCGGGCGACUGACGGUACCUGCAGAAUAAGCACCGGCUAACUACGUGCCAGCAGCCGCGGUAAUACGUAGGGUGCAAGCGUUAAUCGGAAUUACUGGGCGUAAAGCGUGCGCAGGCGGUUCGGAAAGAAAGGUGUGAAAUCCCAGGGCUUAACCUUGGAACUGCACUUUUAACUACCGGGCUAGAGUACGUCAGAGGGGGGUAGAAUUCCACGUGUAGCAGUGAAAUGUGUAGAGAUGUGGAGGAAUACCGAUGGCGAAGGCAGCCCCCUGGGAUGAUACUGACGCUCAUGCACGAAAGCGUGGGGAGCAAACA